CCCUGCCACUCCGUUUUUUCUCUUCUUCUCGUGCUUCGGCGGAAAUCGGCUUAGCUCUUCGACCGGCAUUGCUAGCAGAAUUAUAAUUUUAUGGAGGUCAUUUUAGGGUAAAAUAGGAUUAACUAUGGUUGCACCACGUUAGCUCUUUGGAGUCAAGGUACGCAUUACAUAAAUUCUGCCACACACAUAACUAUGGUUGCACCUCAGGAACGUGACAAGCUAUUUUGAUUCAACUAAGCAGCUUGUGAAUGGGAUUCCCCUGCCACUAGAUCUUGGAUCCAACAUUGAUGAUGUAAAAGUGAAAGUCACCACGACUGCUGAUUCUCUCUCCAAGAAGGCUAAAGAAAAUUCAAGGAUGAUACACAAAGUCAUAGAUGGAGUGAGACUGGCUCUUGUUACUGUUGCUGUUGUUAUGAUCUUUGUUGCAUUUCUCGGAUUGUGCAUGUUUGAUUUUGGUUUUGUCUUUUUUAUUUUUCUUACUCUAUACUAAAUGUUAACCAAAUCAUAUGAACUUGAUUUAAUUUUUGCAGUAUUUUCUUUACUUGCUUUGCCGUGUCCUGUAUACUCGUAAGUUGAAUUCAUUUCAUUUCCUUCACUCUGAUAGAUUUGUCUCCCGUUAAGUUUCUAUCGGUAAAAGAUGUUCUUUUUUCUUUUUAUCGUGGCUGCAGCUUGGUGGUUAUUGGAUGGAUUCUUGUUACAGGCACCUUGUUACUUUGUGCUGCAUUUCUAUUUGUCCCUAAGUAAGUUCCUAUAUAUUGCUUGGAGUCAAUUGUUCAACUUCAUGAAAUCAAUACAAAGCUUGUAAUGGAUAGAUAAUUGGAUCGAAUUAAUGAAUUCAUUAACUAAUGUUACACUUGCAUAUAUGCAUAUGUAUAUUUUUGAACUAAAAAAUAGUAGUAAUGUAUAAGAUCAUAGGGCAGAGUAAUUGGUGUGUUGGGUUGGAGUUAGCUGGAGCUGGGUUUCUUGUGUGGUGUGUUGGUGUUAUGGCUGAGGGAUGAAGAAAGAUAAGGUGUCUCUCCGACUCCGAAUAAUGGGAAGAAGCUAA
Molecule: long non-coding RNA, 1045 nt
Organism: Glycine soja
Lineage: Eukaryota; Viridiplantae; Streptophyta; Magnoliopsida; Fabales; Fabaceae
Exons: 3
Source: RefSeq, a predicted model, not a curated record